CCCGAGCAGGCCGCGGUCGUCCAGGUGGAGGUGUCCAAGGUUCCCGAGGCGGUGCCCGAUGCCGAGGUCGUUCCCGAGGCGGUGUCCUUGUCCGAUGCCAUUCCCGAGGCGGUGCCCGAUGCCGAGGUCGUUCCCGAGGCGGGGUCCUUGUCCAACGCCGUUCCUGAGGCCAUUCCUGAGGCCAUUCCUGAGACCGUUCCCGAGGCGGUGUCCUUGUCCGAUGCCGUUCCUGAGGCCAUUCCCGAGGCGGUGCCCGAUGCUGUUCCGGAGGCCGAUGCGGGGCCCGAGAUGGUUCCGGAGGCGAUACCCGUGUCCAAGGCCGUUCCCGAGGCGGUGCCCUUGUCUGAGGCCGUUCCCGAUGCCGUUCCCAAUGCCGUGACCUGGCCAUCGCCACAGCCUGCUCCUUACUGGCUCCCCGAUUGGCAGGUUCCGUUCGGGCCACUCAAAUGGCGAAUUCCUCCCUGGCCGUCUGCACAACGAGAAUGGACUGAUCCACCGUGGCCACCUGAACUGCCUGGCCCCUCGUGGUCCCCUG
Long non-coding RNA from Cyprinus carpio carpio, 535 nucleotides. NCBI's taxonomy places the organism in Eukaryota, Metazoa, Chordata, Actinopteri, Cypriniformes, Cyprinidae. The record is from Ensembl.